RNAcentral lists this ribosomal RNA (443 nucleotides) under uncultured bacterium. Its description in RNAcentral is "partial 16S ribosomal RNA". It matches the Rfam family "Bacterial small subunit ribosomal RNA", at positions 338 to 795 of the family's 1533-position model. The record is from RNAcentral.
CCUACGGGAGGCAGCAGUGGGGAAUAUUGCACAAUGGGCGAAAGCCUGAUGCAGCAACGCCGCGUGAAGGAAGAAGGGUUUCGGCUCGUAAACUUCUAUCAACAGGGACGAAAGAAAUGACGGUACCUGAAUAAGAAGCCCCGGCUAACUACGUGCCAGCAGCCGCGGUAAUACGUAGGGGGCAAGCGUUAUCCGGAAUUACUGGGUGUAAAGGAAGAGUAGGCGGCAAGGUAAGCGAUAUGUGAAAGCCUUAAGCUUAACUUAAGGAUGGCAUAACGAACUAUCUAGCUAGAGUACAGGAGAGGAAAGCGGAAUUCCUAGUGUAGCGGUGAAAUGCGUAGAUAUUAGGAAGAACACCAGUGGCGAAGGCGGCUUUCUGGACUGAAACUGACGCUGAGGCUCGAAAGCGUGGGGAGCGAACAGGAUUAGAUACCCGAGUAGUC